AGAGUUUGAUCCUGGCUCAGGAUAAACGCUGGCGGCGCACAUAAGACAUGCAAGUCGAACGGAAGUCGUUAUAUUCGAUAUAGAUAGGAACAGAGAACUUGUUCGAAGGAAAUUGACAUUGACUUUAUAACAAUGGCUUUAGUGGCGCACGGGUGAGUAACGCGUGGGUGAUCUGCCCUGAUGUUGGGAAUAACAGUUGGAAACGGCUGCUAAUACCGAAUACGCUCCCCUUUCACGAUGGGAGGAAAGACGGCCUCUGCUUGCAAGCUGUCGCAUGAGGAUGAGUCCGCGUCCCAUUAGCUAGUUGGUGAGGUAACGGCCCACCAAGGCGACGAUGGGUAGCCGAUUUGAGAGGAUGAUCGGCCACACUGGAACUGAAACACGGUCCAGACUCCUACGGGAGGCAGCAGUGGGGAAUAUUGCGCAAUGGGCGAAAGCCUGACGCAGCGACGCCGCGUGAGGGAUGAAGGUCUUCGGAUCGUAAACCUCUGUCAGAAGGGAAGAAAGCAGCGGGUGCCAAUCAGCCUGCUGUUGACGGUACCUUCAAAGGAAGCACCGGCUAACUCCGUGCCAGCAGCCGCGGUAAUACGGAGGGUGCAGGCGUUAAUCGGAAUUACUGGGCGUAAAGCGCACGUAGGCUGUUUUGUAAGUCAGGGGUGAAAGCCCACGGCUCAACCGUGGAAUUGCCUUUGAUACUGCGAGACUUGAAUUCGGGAGAGGAUGGCGGAAUUCCAGGUGUAGGAGUGAAAUCCGUAGAUAUCUGGAGGAACAUCAGUGGCGAAGGCGGCCAUCUGGAUCGAUAUUGACGCUGAGGUGCGAAAGCGUGGGGAGCAAACAGGGAUUAGAUACCCUGGUAGUCCACGCUGUAAACGAUGGAUGCUAGAUGUCGGGGAGCGAUUCUUCGGUGUCGUAGUUAACGCGUUAAGCAUCCCCGCCUGGGGAGUACGGUCGCAAGGCUGAAACUCAAAGAAAUUGACGGGGGCCCGCACAAGCGGUGGAGUAUGUGGUUUAAUUCGAUGCAACGCGAAGAACCUUACCUGGGUUUGACAUCUGGAGGAUCCUCUAGAAAUAGGGGAGUGCCCUUCGGGGAAUUCCAAGACAGGUGCUGCAUGGCUGUCGUCAGCUCGUGUCGUGAGAUGUUGGGUUAAGUCCCGCAACGAGCGCAACCCCUGUGCACAGUUGCCAUCAAGUGAAGUUGGGCACUCUGUGCAGACUGCCCGGGUUAACCGGGAGGAAGGUGGGGACGACGUCAAGUCAUCAUGGCCCUUACAUCCAGGGCAACACACGUACUACAAUGGCGCGCACAAAGGGGAGCGAGACCGCGAGGUGGAGCAGAUCCCAAAAAACGCGUCCCAGUCCGGAUUGCAGUCUGCAACUCGACUGCAUGAAGUCGGAAUCGCUAGUAAUUCGAGAUCAGCAUGCUCGGGUGAAUGCGUUCCCGGGCCUUGUACACACCGCCCGUCACACCACGAAAGUCGGUUUUACCCGAUGCCGGUGAGCCAACCCGCAAGGGGAGCAUCCGUUUACGGUAGGGCCGAUGAUUGGGGUGAAGUCGUAACAAGGUA
RNAcentral lists this ribosomal RNA (1565 nucleotides) under uncultured bacterium. RNAcentral's name for it is "bacterial SSU rRNA". It matches the Rfam family "Bacterial small subunit ribosomal RNA". The record is from RNAcentral.